AGAGUUUGAUCAUGGCUCAGGACGAACGCUGGCGGCGUGCCUAAUACAUGCAAGUCGAACGAACCGCGACUGAGUGCUUGCACUUGGUCAAGGUGAGUGGCGAACGGGUGAGUAACACGUGGGUAACCUACCUCAUAGUGGGGGAUAACAGUCGGAAACGACUGCUAAUACCGCAUAGGACAUAGGAUCACAUGAUCCAGUGAGGAAAGGUGGCGCAAGCUAUCGCUAAGAGAUGGACCCGCGGUGCAUUAGCUAGUUGGUAGGGUAACGGCCUACCAAGGCGAUGAUGCAUAGCCGACCUGAGAGGGUGAUCGGCCACAUUGGGACUGAGACACGGCCCAAACUCCUACGGGAGGCAGCAGUAGGGAAUCUUCCGCAAUGGACGCAAGUCUGACGGAGCAACGCCGCGUGAGUGAAGAAGGUCUUCGGAUCGUAAAGCUCUGUUGUUAGAGAAGAACAGCGCAUAGAGUAACUGCUAUGCGUGUGACGGUAUCUAACCAGAAAGCCACGGCUAACUACGUGCCAGCAGCCGCGGUAAUACGUAGGUGGCGUGCGUUGUCCGGAUUUAUUGGGCGUAAAGGGAGUGUAGGCGGUCUUUUAAGUCUGAUGUGAAAGCCCACGGCUCAACCGUGGAGGGUCAUUGGAAACUGGGAGACUUGAGUGCAGAAGAGGAGAGCGGAAUUCCAUGUGUAGCGGUGAAAUGCGUAGAUAUAUGGAGGAACACCAGUGGCGAAGGCGGCUCUCUGGUCUGU
This 752-nucleotide ribosomal RNA is filed under the name uncultured bacterium. RNAcentral describes it as "bacterial SSU rRNA". It matches the Rfam family "Bacterial small subunit ribosomal RNA", at positions 8 to 737 of the family's 1533-position model. The record is from RNAcentral.